Long non-coding RNA from Mesocricetus auratus (golden hamster), 1556 nucleotides. RefSeq lists it as uncharacterized. The record is from RefSeq and is a predicted model, not a curated record. Lineage: Eukaryota; Metazoa; Chordata; Mammalia; Rodentia; Cricetidae. The transcript is spliced from 4 exons.
GUGGGUAGGCAUUUCAGACCACAGCUUUGGCUGACCUCCUGGUGAGCUGUCAGAAUCAAUAGGGAUUCGAACAAGAAAGACUUCCAGAUGCUUCUAGCAGCAAAACCAAACCAGGAAUGAAAGAAAGCUCAGGAGAGGUUGUCCAGCUGCUCUAAGUGCACCCCAGAUUAAGAACUGUUAAUUGUGGGGCUAGGUGUGUGCCAACUUGAAGAGCUAGCAUCAGAGAGGAGGGAGCUUCAAAUAAGAAAAUGCCUCCAUAAGAUGGAGCUGCGGUCACACCUGUGGGGAAUCUUCUAAGUUAGCGGUUGAUGUGGGAGGGCCCGAUGCAUUGUGGGUGGUGCCAUCUUGGGCCUGGUGAUCCUGAAUUUUAUAUGAAAGCCUGCUAAGCAGGAAAAAGGGAACUCCUCCCUGGUCUCUGCAUCAGCUCCUGCCUUCAGGUUCCUGCACUGUUUGAGUUCCUGUCCUGACUUCCUUCCAUGAUGAAUAGCGAUGUGGAAAUCUAGGGCUGAAGGAUCGGCUGUGGUUAACAAGACACCAGAACCCCUAAAGAGAAACCCUUGCUUUACUGGGAUACUUAAUGCUGGUUAGCUGGAAUGAGCAAUGAUUAAGAGACCAGCCUCAGUGAGGUGAAAUCUUCUGGGAAGUGUUUCCUGAGAGCACACAGAAGCUAUGUUCCUGAGGUGGUCACAGUUGUCCCUUGCACUUGUGGCUGAACUUGGUGAUGUGCGAGUCAUCCAGGUGGUACUGGUGUUGACGGUAUCAAGGGGUCAUGGAGAGCAGCUGAGGCUUGGCAACUUCGUGUCAGGGCUGGAGUCCCUGCAGAGACCCCAGGUGAAAGUGCAUCCCAGUUGCAGCACAAGACCCUAGUAUUUGGAAGAUGCCAGGACCAUGGGAUAACCUCCAAGAACAGCAGCAGCAGUGGAGUGGAGUCAGCUGGAGCCCAGAGGACAAGCUGUGUGUGCUACAGCGAGUGGAGAUGGAGAGGUGACCCAAGCCCUAUGGAGGAGCCCAGAACACUAUGCAAUGUGACCAGCUCCCUCAAGCUCCUGAGGCUGUAACAUCAUUGCUAUGAUGAACUGUAACCUGAAACUGUCUUGAACUAUGGAGAUGAAUAAAACCUAAAAGGCCUUCCUUCUCAUAUGUUGCAAACAAGAGACCAGGAGAUAAGAAGCCAGCAUGCUGAAAACAAAAGCAAGGCAAUUUGAUGAAGAUGAAGGACAACACUGGGACUAUGCAUUCUUUCCCCCUUACUCAGAUGAUCAGUUUUAUCAACCACUCAUAGCAGCAACAGCUAUGCUAUGCUGCGAUUAAUGUGUACACAUAUAAGAUGCACAGAUACAGAUGUACACAACUGAACACAUGGACACAAAUGCAUGAAGGAAUGUCACACAUAACCAACAUAGAUAGAAUAGAGCAGGAACUUGUUUAGACGGCCUCUUCCGAGGAAGGAGUUAUUCUGAAGAAACACUGCAAAGGAACUCAGUUCUUCUUUAGGGGUGCUUGUGGUACUUUCUUUGAAUGAGUCCCCCACCCAAGCAAAAUGUGUCUUAACUACA